This 270-nucleotide ribosomal RNA is filed under the name uncultured archaeon. RNAcentral's name for it is "partial 16S ribosomal RNA". It matches the Rfam family "Bacterial small subunit ribosomal RNA", at positions 527 to 796 of the family's 1533-position model. The record is from RNAcentral.
CGAGGGUGCAAGCGUUAAUCGGAAUUACUGGGCGUAAAGCGAGUGUAGGCGGCUACCUAAGUCGGAUGUGAAAGCCCCGGGCUCAACCUGGGAAUUGCAUUCGAUACUGAGUAGCUAGAGUUUGGUAGAGGUAAGUGGAAUUCCAGGUGUAGCGGUGAAAUGCGUAGAUAUCUGGAGGAACAUCAGUGGCGAAGGCGGCUUACUGGACCAAAACUGACGCUGAGGCUCGAAAGCGUGGGGAGCAAACAGGAUUAGAUACCCGCGUAGUCC